Meriones unguiculatus (Mongolian gerbil) is the source of this 498-nucleotide long non-coding RNA. RefSeq lists it as uncharacterized. The transcript is spliced from 3 exons. The record is from RefSeq and is a predicted model, not a curated record. NCBI's taxonomy places the organism in Eukaryota, Metazoa, Chordata, Mammalia, Rodentia, Muridae.
CUAGACACUCAGACUGAGGAAAGAGACUAUGAGGAUGCAGUCCCCCAACCCGUUGUUGGGGGAAUUGCAGGGCCUGGGUUGCAGCAAGGUUUAAAGGGAGGUAAACUCACACUUUGACAGAAAACUCUGUUUAGGGCAAGAGAUCUGGAUGGGAAGGCUAAUAGUUUUAACUGCUUUCUUGUUUGGAGGCAAUCUAAUCCACAGACUCAAAACCAAACAUCAGAGGAGGGAGAAUGAGGCGUGGCUUUGAGAAAUAACCUGGCAGUUCUAUUUCUGUGAUGUCUGGUGAUCGUGCCCAUGCAGGGAGACAAAGGAUCUUGCAUGGAACUAUGAAAAUUGGCAGCUGUCACCAACCUUUUUAUUAUUACCAGUUGGUCAAUGGCUGACCUCAGUCUGCAAUUGAGCGUUGCAACAAACCACCUUGGGACUAAGACUGAAGACAUCCUGAAUGUCUAAAUAAUAAGAAGUGGGGAGAUGUGAGGAGCAGAUGGAGUCCUG